Long non-coding RNA from Anas platyrhynchos (mallard), 4325 nucleotides. RefSeq lists it as uncharacterized. NCBI's taxonomy places the organism in Eukaryota, Metazoa, Chordata, Aves, Anseriformes, Anatidae. The record is from RefSeq and is a predicted model, not a curated record.
AGAGCUGCUGAUGAAGAAACACCCCGCGCAGAUCUCUUUCUCCAGCUUUUCAUUUUAUUUGUUUUCUUCAUGUACCCAAAGAAGAGUUACAGCAGGGAUACAGCUUUCUUCACACCCUUUCUUACUCACUUUAGUAAGUCCACCAGGAAACGAAGUGCGGCAUGUCCUGGCCACACAAAUCCCUGCACACACACAGCUGCAGCUUUUGAUUUCAAUGCGAGGGUAAAUUGGCUUCAUCUCAUCAUGGGAAGACUCUUUUUAAGCCCAGAAACAGCUCUCCACACUUUUUCCCUCCUAGGGUGCACCCGAAGGAAAAUAAGCAGUCAUCUGUAAUCAUAUGGCUAAUGAGGGGUAUUGAUUAAUGAGGCAGAGGGAGGCAGGACCAGGCACAGCCCGUGCCAGGCAGGAAGGGGCUGAGCACAGACCCGUAGGGAUGGUUUUUGAGGUGGGAGACUGCAAGGUGAGACGGGGGCAGAGGACUUCCCAGGAGGUGCUGCCAGCCCCUGUAUCUGAGGAAUCAAGCUGAGAAGGCAGUGAGAAGCAGGUGUGAACAUUUUUCUGCCUGCCUGGGGAAGAGUUUGGAGAUGGGAAGCUGGGCCAGUGCGGACAAAGGGAUGCUUCUGCAUUUACUGCCUCUCUCCCCCUGUGUGCUGCCUCCAGGCCACCCGAGCUGAACGCUCACAGCUUGCACUGAAGUGUUGGAGAACUGAAAGGGCCUGAGGCUGUGCUGGCUGGUCCCUGGCAUCUUGCAUUUCAAAUGCCCUCAAAAUGAUGGAUUUGAUGCUUCCUCUUUUAUUUAUUACAUUUAAAGCAUUUUUGCCAGGGGGGGUAGCUCAAGAGAAGACACAGCUUAUUUUCCUGAGGAUCCCAGGGGCCGGGCUCUCUGGCAGCUGCCUGCAAAGCAAAAGGCAGGAGCCCACCAGCAGCCAGGCGUGCAGCAAUCUGCUCUCCUGGGGGGGCAGAGAGGGGCCAGGGGCAAGGCAGGGAGGAAAGGUCCACCUGGCUCAGGAGCAGGAGGCAGGCAGCCAGCAGGGAGUCAUUUGCAGAGCUUUCCUCCCGGCCGCUGGGCAGCGAUUAUCGAUGCCACGCAGCUGUAAAUGUUCUCUCGGCGGCUGGGACCUGGGAGCGGAGAGUGCGGCUCAGCUGAGUGUGUUAUUGGAUUAGCAGCUGAUUAGAGCUGUUAAGAGUCCACUCUUGAAUAAUCAACAUGGUGCUUUUUGGCUGCUGUGCGGUGGUGGGAGGGGGAAGGAGGCAGAGCAGCCAGGCUGGCUGCUGUUGGUUUGUAGCUAAGCCCUGGGCAUUGCUAUCAGCAAGCCCUGCUCAGAGGACAGAUGUGGUGCCCACCUUCCCCAGGUCCAGGGCGUUAAAUCUCCACACUGAUGGGAUGUCGGUUUGCAGGGGGACCCCUUCUUUCCCUGACAGAUAUUUCAGACCAUGACAUUUCCUACCAGCAGGGUUAGGAUCUGAAGAUUCUUAACCCUAUGGGAAGAGAGCCAUGCAGCUUGAUGGUGUGCUGAGUCUUGUGGUGGGCUCGAUCCAUUGUGAACCAGGGUAAGAACGUAGCGCACUGGAGACUAAGGCUGUUUGGUUUUGGUGCUGGAAAAGUCAAGUGGAGGAGGUCCAGGUCUUGUAGGGGGAUGGAAGAGCUGACUCCCUCUACUGAGCUAACACAACGGGUGGAGAUGGUGUGGGCAUGUUGGGUCCCCCUGCUUGUAAAGGGGACUCACUGGGCAGGGCGAAAAGGGCAGGGGAGCUCUUCUGGUGAAGAGUUCUUCUAAGUGCCAGUGAGAUCAAAAGCUUAGCAGGGGCUUACGGUGUUGUGCUUUAGUGUAUUCCUAUAGAGACGAGGCAAGGCAGAGGCUGAAGGAUGAAGCUGAGCUAGCGAGGCUGGGCUGGGAAUGCUUUAGAUGAAGAAGGCACAGCGUUCUCCGUCCUUUGCUUCUCCUCCAGACUGAUGCCCAGCAGCGUGUGGCCAUAACUUCCCCUGGAGAAGCUUCCUACAGCCACCUUGCGGCAGGAGCCCUCCUGCUCUCCUUUGAUGUGUCGGUUUGCUCCCCGGGGCUGAGUCCUCCUGGUCUGGAGAGCUCAAUUCACCACCAGCUUCACGCACCCUGCUUUUCCCCUCAGUCAUAGCACUCUUGUUCCCACUAAAAUCAAUGGCAUGGCAACUGUGUGAGCAAGGGGAGAAUUUGAUAUCACAAGGAAUAACAAAUCACAGGCAUAUCAAGUGUGCCCUGAUAUCCAAGGGCACGGAGCAGCAAGGACCAAGGAGAUCCCUUGCUCACUCUUUCCCUCCCUCUGCCUGUCUCCGAGGAUCAGUAUUCUCCUUCCAGAGACCUGUAGGGGUCACAGUUGGAUUGUACAACAUGCUGUGAGCCCGUCCUUGGGAAGGGAAACCAUUCCUGCUGAAGUAUUGACCAGAAAGCCAGCAGGACACCAAGUGCCCUCUGCACACAGGCCACUGCCUCAAACCCCACUCAGCAGUGGGCUCCUACCCAUCUUCUGCCUAUUUCUGACACUAAGGCCCAGAUGUCUCCCAUGGGAUGUGUUUCUUAGCUUCAACGUAGUGAAACCAAACGUGUUGCAGGUUGGAAAGAGCCAGUCUCAAGUCCAUGCACAGGAGGGUGUGAGGAACCAAGAUUUUAUUGGGACAGUUCUAUAAUGGAGAGGAAAGAGGAGAAGUGAUGCUUUAGAUAACGUGAUUUAUACCUGCACAGCCCUAUCAAGGGAAGGGAGAGGGACCUAAUUAGUAACUCGGAACCUAAUUAAAAAGGCUCAAGCCGAAGACUUCUGUCUGUGUCCAGGUUUCUUGUUCAUAUGAAUACUGGUGGACCAUCAAGAUUGGUGUGAAGGGGCUUUGCUUCCUGCUUGUCUAACCUGAUCUUACUCAAAACCAUGUGGUACAAACCUCAAAAAACAAAAUCCAGGUGACAGAACUUGAAGAACGUCAGGAUAUGGGCAGACCUCCACUGAAGUGAAAUGGAUGUGGCAGCUCCUGAAACCUUAACCUGGUUUCCUCUGGGGUCAUUACUCAUCCCUGCAGUUCCCUCAUGGGACUGUGAAGGUUUAUCUUAGCUUCCAGAUUCAAGCCUCCCAUAACAGAAGUCACAGGACAUGUGCAAGACCAGGCAUCAGUGUGCUGGAUGUAUGACCUGUGCCUGGACAGAUUCCUAUUCCCCACGUGAAAGCGGUUGCCUCAGCAGGGUUUUUCUGCCAUGAUAGCACCAGUCUGGUCCUUCUUCCUUCCACUGGGUAGCAGAAAGUCUUCGUCAGGUGAGCCUGAUCCAGUCUCCAUCAUAAGCAGCAGCCCAGAAACAGCAUCACCCGUCUUCAUUCUCCAAGGUCCCUGUGGACACACACCCACAGGAACUCUCCAGUCACGGUCAGAGAUCCCUUCCCAUGCCUGCACUGCACCACAAAUUAGGAUCUGGCCAUGACGCUCACAAGGAUGGACCCGUUCCACUGUGCGAUAAUUAAAUUGCCUGUAAUUAUGUUCUUGACAAGUGAAAUACAGGCAGUAAAUGAUCCUAACAUUCUUCGCUCCCUCCCUCUUCCCAAGACUCCCCCAGCUGCCCCUCCCCUCUAAAUGCUGAAUUAUUUUACAGUUGAUAGUUCCUUAGAUUUGCCGACCUUUAAAAGCUGAACACUACAUGCCUGUUGAAUUUUAAUCAAUUUAUUUUUUUCAACUGGAAAUGUCAGACUUCUGUACGGAAUUACUUGGUGCCGGCUGAUGUGACAAAGACUCAAAGUUCAGCAUCUGAAGCCGCGGAGGAGCAGAGAGUUGCGUGCAUUAGCACAGAUAAUUUGCAGGAUGUGAAAAUGAGAGCAGGAGUGAGGGAGCAUAUAUUUUUCAUUAGCUUUGGUUUAGAGGGUUCGGGGACCUGCAUUUAUUUCAUCCAGUGAACUCUGGCCUCAUUAAAUCCAGACCGUGGCUGGUAAUGACUGGAAGUAAGAAGCUGUGGAGGCCACUAAAGGGCAGGAGGCAAAGUGAGUUCUUUGCAGGAGCACGGAGAGAACCUCGGUGGAUGGGGGAGCACCAACCUCUGCUGUGUCUGCUCUACGGUACCAAGCACAGGAAGGUGCCAGAGGCCCAAACCAUCCACCAUUCUGCACUGGUGCAGUUUGUUAAUGCACAUUACACCACCUGCUUCAUGCAGCUCCAGAAGAGUCCAGCAAAGCUUCCACUUGCAGUGUAGCUUUCCCAACCUGAGUGCAGGGUUGAUUAAACUUCUCAGUAGCGUUGAGCUUGGCCGGCAUUGCCUGGAAGGAUUAAGCAUUCCCCAGCUGGAGCAAAGCCCUUCCACAAAGAUGGGAGGAGGUUUAGU